This 511-nucleotide ribosomal RNA is filed under the name Calligrapha rowena. RNAcentral describes it as "partial 16S ribosomal RNA". The stretch from base 384 to 511 matches the Rfam family "Bacterial large subunit ribosomal RNA", at positions 2473 to 2600 of the family's 2925-position model. The record is from RNAcentral. Lineage: Eukaryota; Metazoa; Arthropoda; Insecta; Coleoptera; Chrysomelidae.
GUYUUUUUGUUAAAAAUUUAAAGUCAGGCCUGCCCACUGAAACUUUAAAUGGCCGUGGUAUUUUGACCGUGCUAAGGUAGCAUAAUCAUUAGUUUUUUAAUUGAAAGCUGGAAUGAAAGGUUUGAUAAAAAAAUGACUGUCUCUAUUUAAUUUUAUUAGAAAUUUAUUUUUAAGUUCAAAAGCUUAAUUUUUAUUAAAAGACGAGAAGACCCUAUAGAGUUUAAUAAUUUAAGGUAAUUUAUAUUUUAGAAUUAAUUUAUUUAUUUUUUAGUAUUAUUUAAUUGGGGUGAUUGAAAAAUUUAAUUAACUUUUUUUAUAUUUAACCAUUAAUUUAUGAUAAUUUGAUCCAAUUUUUUUUGAUUAUAAGAUAAAAUUACCUUAGGGAUAACAGCGUAAUUUUUUUAGAAAGUUCAAAUUAAAAGAAAAGAUUGCGACCUCGAUGUUGGAUUAAAAUUAAAUUUUGGUGUAGAAGCUAAAAAUUUUAAGUCUGUUCGACUUUUAAAAUUUUACA